This 395-nucleotide unclassified non-coding RNA is filed under the name soil metagenome. RNAcentral describes it as "partial contains 5.8S ribosomal RNA, internal transcribed spacer 2, and large subunit ribosomal RNA". The stretch from base 1 to 120 matches the Rfam family "5.8S ribosomal RNA", at positions 35 to 154 of the family's 154-position model. The record is from RNAcentral.
GAUGAAGAACGUAGCGAAAUGCGAUAAGUAAUGUGAAUUGCAGAAUUCAGUGAAUCAUCGAAUCUUUGAACGCACCUUGCGCCUUUUGGUAUUCCGAAAGGCACACCUGUUUGAGCGUCAUGAAUACCUCAAUCUCCAUCUUUUCUUCGGAUUGAUGGGUGACAUGGAUGUUGAGCCCUGCUGGUAUGCUAUAUCAGCUGGCUUUAAACUUAUUAGCCGGCUCUGUACUGGAUCGGUUUGACUCGACGUGAUAAUAUUAUCGUUGAGGAUGCAUGUCUCAUGCAGCCGGAAAGUAUCAAAGCAGCUUCUAGCUUGCCUUUAGUGCACUUUUACAUUUUAGACCUCAGAUCAGGUGGGACUACCCGCUGAACUUAAGCAUAUCAAUAAGCGGAGGA